UACAGCGGAUGAUCAAAAUUUUUUUCCCAGAAAUCUGUACAUAUUUACGAAAGUCCACUUGGGGACAAUUUUCUAUCGAAAUGGAUAGAGCCAAAAAAGCAAGCAGAAAAGGAGAAACUCACACUGGAGAAGAAUAACCAGAACUUCAAAGAAGUCUCUGAGAGACUAAAGAACUUAGAAAGUAUCCUGGAACCUCAUAUGAAAGUGAAAAAGUGGAAAUGGAAGAAAAUGCUAUGCAAAUACAGAGCAUUGCUAAUACACAUAAUUAGUGAGGCGCAGCAAAUGAUGAAGCCAGAUGUGGAACUCAUCCAGAAUGUGAGAAGAACAUUAACAAGAAUCCACAGCUAG
RNAcentral lists this long non-coding RNA (348 nucleotides) under Monodelphis domestica (gray short-tailed opossum). RNAcentral's name for it is "lncRNA (ENSMODG00000030235.2)". The record is from RNAcentral. Lineage: Eukaryota; Metazoa; Chordata; Mammalia; Didelphimorphia; Didelphidae.